RNAcentral lists this ribosomal RNA (492 nucleotides) under uncultured bacterium. Its description in RNAcentral is "partial 16S ribosomal RNA". It matches the Rfam family "Bacterial small subunit ribosomal RNA", at positions 29 to 507 of the family's 1533-position model. The record is from RNAcentral.
AGUGAACGCUGGCGGUAGGCCUAACACAUGCAAGUCGAACGGCAGCACAGUAAGAGCUUGCUCUUACGGGUGGCGAGUGGCGGACGGGUGAGGAAUACAUCGGAAUCUACUUUUUCGUGGGGGAUAACGUAGGGAAACUUACGCUAAUACCGCAUACGACCUACGGGUGAAAGCAGGGGAUCUUCGGACCUUGCGCGAUUGAAUGAGCCGAUGUCGGACUAGCUAGUUGGCGGGGUAAAGGCCCACCAAGGCGACGAUCCGUAGCUGGUCUGAGAGGAUGAUCAGCCACACUGGAACUGAGUCACGGUCCAGACUCCUACGGGAGGCAGCAGUGGGGAAUAUUGGACAAUGGGCGCAAGCCUGAUCCAGCCAUACCGCGUGGGUGAAGAAGGCCUUCGGGUUGUAAAGCCCUUUUGUUGGGAAAGAAAAGCAGCAGGUUAAUACCCCGCUGUUCUGACGGUACCCAAAGAAUAAGCACCGGCUAACUUCGUG